CAGCAGCCACGGGAAUACGUAGGGUGCGAGCGUUAAUCGGAAUUACUGGGCGUAAAGCGUGCGCAGGCGGUUGUGUAAGACAGGUGUGAAAUCCCCGGGCUUAACCUGGGAACUGCGCUUGUGACUGCACAGCUAGAGUUUGGCAGAGGGGGGUGGAAUUCCACGUGUAGCAGUGAAAUGCGUAGAGAUGUGGAGGAACACCGAUGGCGAAGGCAGCCCCCUGGGCCAAUACUGACGCUCAUGCACGAAAGCGUGGGGAGCAAACAGGAUUAGAUACCCGCGUAGUCCCUGUCUCUUAUAC
Molecule: ribosomal RNA, 301 nt
Filed under: uncultured bacterium
Lineage: Bacteria
Description: partial 16S ribosomal RNA
Rfam family: Bacterial small subunit ribosomal RNA
Source: RNAcentral